GACGAACGCUGGCGGCGUGCUUAACACAUGCAAGUCGAACGAUGACGACCGAGCUUGCUCGGUCUGAUUAGCGACGAGCGGGUGAGUAACACGUGAGCAACCUGCCCUUCACUCUGGGAUAACCUCGGGAAAUCGGGGCUAAUACCGGAUAUGAGCUCCUGUCGCAUGGCGGGUGUUGGAAAGUUUUUCGGUGAAGGAUGGGCUCGCGGCCUAUCAGUUUGUUGGUGAGGUAGUGGCUCACCAAGGCGAUGACGGGUAGCCGGCCUGAGAGGGCGACCGGCCACACUGGGACUGAGACACGGCCCAGACUCCUACGGGAGGCAGCAGUGGGGAGUAUUGCACAAUGGGCGAAAGCCUGAUGCAGCGACGCCGCGUGAGGGAUGACGGCCUUCGGGUUGUAAACCUCUUUCAGCAGGGAAGAAGCGAAAGUGACGGUACCUGCAGAAGAAGCGCCGGCUAACUACGUG
This 467-nucleotide ribosomal RNA is filed under the name uncultured bacterium. RNAcentral's name for it is "partial 16S ribosomal RNA". It matches the Rfam family "Bacterial small subunit ribosomal RNA", at positions 28 to 507 of the family's 1533-position model. The record is from RNAcentral.